UAGGGAAUAUUAGUAAUGGGCGAAAGCCUGAACUAGCAACACCGCGUGUGCGAAGAAGGCCUUCGGGUUGUAAAGCACUUUUUGAGAGGAUGAGGAAGGACGGUACUCUCAGAAUAAGUCUCGGCUAACUACGUGCCAGCAGCCGCGGUAACACGUAGGAGGCAAACGUUAUCCGGAUUUACUGGGCGUAAAGCGCGUGUAGGUGGUUUGGUAAGUAGAGCGUGAAAGCUCCUGGCUCAACUGGGAGAGGUCGUUCUAAACUGCCGGACUAGAGGAUGGUAGAGGGAGGUGGAAUUCCGGGUGUAGCGGUGGAAUGCGCAGAUAUCCGGAGGAACACCAGUGGCGAAAGCGGCCUCCUGGGCCAUUUCUGACGCUAAGACGCGAAAGCUAGGGUAGCAAACG
Molecule: ribosomal RNA, 402 nt
Filed under: uncultured prokaryote
Description: bacterial SSU rRNA
Rfam family: Bacterial small subunit ribosomal RNA
Source: RNAcentral